AAGUAAAAGUCGUAACAAGGUUCCGUAGGUGAACCUGCGGAAGGAUCAUUAAUGAAUAAACUAGGUAGGUGUUGCUGGCUCCUAGGAGCAUGUGCACACCUACCAUUGUUUCAUUCUUUCUCCACCUGUGCACCUUUUGUAGGCUUGGAUACCUCUCAAGGAUUUGAUUUACAUCAGUCCUUGGAUUCUUAAGGAUUGUUUUAAUACAAAACUUCCCUUUGCAUUUCCAGUCUAUGUUUUAUAUAUACAUCCACACCCCAUUAGUAUGUUUUAGAAUGUUUAUACUUGGCCUUUAUUUUAUAUUGGCUAUAAAAACUUAUACAACUUUCAACAACGGAUCUCUUGGCUCUCGCAUCGAUGAAGAACGCAGCGAAAUGCGAUAAGUAAUGUGAAUUGCAGAAUUCAGUGAAUCAUCGAAUCUUUGAACGCACCUUGCGCUCCUUGGUAUUCCGAGGAGCAUGCCUGUUUGAGUGUCAUUAAAUUCUCAAUCCUCUCUGUGUUUAUUCAUUUAUCCUCAGUUGGGAUUGGAUAUGGGGGUUUUUGCUGGCUUUGCAGUCAGCUCCUCUUAAAAAUAUUAGCAAGACUUUUGUUGCAACCUUCUAUUUGGUGUGAUAACUAUCUACAUCAUAGAUUAUGUGCACUUUGUAAUGUCUGGCUUCCUAACAGUCCAUUUACUUGGACAAAC
Molecule: ribosomal RNA, 685 nt
Filed under: Melanoleuca cognata
Lineage: Eukaryota; Fungi; Basidiomycota; Agaricomycetes; Agaricales; Pluteaceae
Description: eukaryotic LSU rRNA
Rfam family: 5.8S ribosomal RNA (bases 323-476)
Source: RNAcentral